RNAcentral lists this transfer RNA (72 nucleotides) under Stegodyphus mimosarum. It matches the Rfam family "tRNA". Rfam says of the family: Transfer RNA (tRNA) molecules are approximately 80 nucleotides in length. Their secondary structure includes four short double-helical elements and three loops (D, anti-codon, and T loops). The record is from Rfam by way of RNAcentral. Lineage: Eukaryota; Metazoa; Arthropoda; Arachnida; Araneae; Eresidae.
GCCUUCGUAGUGUAGUGGUCAGCACGCUGACGCGCAACAGAGAGGUCCGUGGUUCGAUUCCCGGCGAAGGCU